GAAAGACAGGGAGAGGGUGGGAGGGAGGGAGGCAGAGAAAUAGGGAGAUGCAAACAUUAGAAGUGGAGGAAGAAGAACAGACUGGAGAUAAAUUGGUCAGCCUCCCCCUACCUCUCCCUCUCCUUCCUUCUCCCUCCCUCCCUCUUUCUCU
Molecule: non-coding RNA, 151 nt
Organism: Xyrichtys novacula (pearly razorfish)
Lineage: Eukaryota; Metazoa; Chordata; Actinopteri; Labriformes; Labridae
Source: the annotation of a GenBank genome assembly